AAGUCGAGCGAACGGACGAGAAGCUUGCUUCUCUGAUGUUAGCGGCGGUCGGGUGAGUAACACGUGGAUAACCUACCUAUAAGACUGGGAUAACUUCGGGAAACCGGAGCUAAUACCGGAUAAUAUUUUGAACCGCAUGGUUCAAAAGUGAAAGACGGUCUUGCUGUCACUUAUAGAUGGAUCCGCGCUGCAUUAGCUAGUUGGUAAGGUAACGGCUUACCAAGGCAACGAUGCAUAGCCGACCUGAGAGGGUGAUCGGCCACACUGGAACUGAGACACGGUCCAGACACCUACGGGAGGCAGCAGUAGGGAAUCUUCCGCAAUGGGCGAAAGCCUGACGGAGCAACGCCGCGUGAGUGAUGAAGGUCUUCGGAUCGUAAAACUCUGUUAUUAGGGAAGAACAUAUGUGUAAGUAACUGUGCACAUCUUGACGGUACCUAAUCAGAAAGCCACGGCUAACUACGUGCCAGCAGCCGCGGUAAUACGUAGGUGGCAAGCGUUAUCCGGAAUUAUUGGGCGUAAAGCGCGCGUAGGCGGUUUUUUAAGUCUGAUGUGAAAGCCCACGGCUCAACCGUGGAGGGUCAUUGGAAACUGGAAAACUUGAGUGCAGAAGAGGAAAGUGGAAUUCCAUGUGUAGCGGUGAAAUGCGCAGAGAUAUGGAGGAACACCAGUGGCGAAGGCGACUUUCUGGUCUGUAACUGACGCUGAUGUGCGAAAGCGUGGGGAUCAAA
This 731-nucleotide ribosomal RNA is filed under the name uncultured Staphylococcus sp. RNAcentral's name for it is "bacterial SSU rRNA". It matches the Rfam family "Bacterial small subunit ribosomal RNA", at positions 59 to 772 of the family's 1533-position model. The record is from RNAcentral. Lineage: Bacteria; Bacillati; Bacillota; Bacilli; Caryophanales; Staphylococcaceae.